AUUGAACGCUGGCGGCAUGCUUUACACAUGCAAGUCGAACGGCAGCGCGGGCUUCGGCCUGGCGGCGAGUGGCGAACGGGUGAGUAAUGCAUCGGAACGUGCCCAGUAGUGGGGGAUAGCCCGGCGAAAGCCGGAUUACUACCGCAUACGACCUGCGGGUGAAAGCGGGGGACCGAAAGGCCUCGCGCUAUUGGAGCGGCCGAUGUCGGAUUAGCUAGUUGGUGGGGUAAAGGCUUACCAAGGCGACGAUCCGUAGCUGGUCUGAGAGGACGACCAGCCACACUGGGACUGAGACACGGCCCAGACUCCUACGGGAGGCAGCAGUGGGGAAUUUUGGACAAUGGGGGCAACCCUGAUCCAGCCAUGCCGCGUGCGGGAAGAAGGCCUUCGGGUUGUAAACCGCUUUUGUUCGGGAAGAAAUCCUCUGGGCUAAUACCCCGGGGGGAUGACGGUACCGGAAGAAUAAGCACCGGCUAACUACGUG
RNAcentral lists this ribosomal RNA (484 nucleotides) under uncultured bacterium. RNAcentral's name for it is "partial 16S ribosomal RNA". It matches the Rfam family "Bacterial small subunit ribosomal RNA", at positions 28 to 507 of the family's 1533-position model. The record is from RNAcentral.